AAACAACCCUCUAUAUUUUAUUCUCUGGCAGUUUUCGACCCUCAAAGCAAAAAAAAAAUAAAAAAUAAUAUUAACACUUGGCAUCUCACUUAGGGUGCCACGUGAGCGUUGACCGAGUCAACAAUGGACUGAGGGUCCAAAACUACUAAAGAAUCAAAACAUAAGAAGCUGUUU
MicroRNA precursor from Medicago truncatula (barrel medic), 174 nucleotides. It matches the Rfam family "MIR2619 microRNA precursor family". The record is from Rfam. NCBI's taxonomy places the organism in Eukaryota, Viridiplantae, Streptophyta, Magnoliopsida, Fabales, Fabaceae.